This 468-nucleotide ribosomal RNA is filed under the name uncultured bacterium. RNAcentral describes it as "partial 16S ribosomal RNA". It matches the Rfam family "Bacterial small subunit ribosomal RNA", at positions 28 to 507 of the family's 1533-position model. The record is from RNAcentral.
GACGAACGCUGGCGGCGUGCUUAACACAUGCAAGUCGAACGGAAAGGCCCUGCUUUUGUGGGGUGCUCGAGUGGCGAACGGGUGAGUAACACGUGAGUAACCUGCCCUUGACGUUGGGAUAACUUCAGGAAACUGGGGCUAAUACCGGAUAGGAGCUCCUGCUGCAUGGUGGGGGUUGGAAAGUUUCGGCGGUUGGGGAUGGACUCGCGGCUUAUCAGCUGGUUGGUGGGGUAGUGGCUUACCAAGGCUUUGACGGGUAGCCGGCCUGGGAGGGUGGCCGGCCACCUUGGGCCUGAGAUACGGCCCAGUCUCCUACGGGAGGCAGCAGUGGGGAAUAUUGCACAAUGGGCGGACGCCUGAUGCAGCAACGCCGCGUGCGGGAUGACGGCCUUCGGGUUGUAAACCGCUUUCGCCUGUGACGAAGCGUGAGUGACGGUAAUGGGUAAAGAAGCACCGGCUAACUACGUG